CAGUAGCCGCGGUAAUACGGAGGGUGCAAGCGUUGUCCGGAUUUAUUGGGUUUAAGGGGUGCGUAGGCGGCCUAAUAAGUCAGUGGUGAAAGCCUCCAGCUUAACUGGAGAACUGCCAUUGAUACUGUUAGGCUUGAGUAUACUUGAGGUAGGCGGAAUUGACAGUGUAGCGGUGAAAUGCAUAGAUAUUGUCAAGAACACCAAUUGCGAAGGCAGCUUACUAAAUUAUAACUGACGCUGAGGCACGAAAGUGUGGGUAUCAAACAGGAUUAGAUACCCCCGUAGUCCCUGUCUCUUAUAA
RNAcentral lists this ribosomal RNA (301 nucleotides) under uncultured bacterium. Its description in RNAcentral is "partial 16S ribosomal RNA". It matches the Rfam family "Bacterial small subunit ribosomal RNA", at positions 509 to 809 of the family's 1533-position model. The record is from RNAcentral.